RNAcentral lists this long non-coding RNA (2776 nucleotides) under Homo sapiens (human). RNAcentral's name for it is "HSALNT0203448". Lineage: Eukaryota; Metazoa; Chordata; Mammalia; Primates; Hominidae. The record is from RNAcentral.
UCAUUGUAAAUGAUGGCUUCAGUUCAACACAAAUACAAUUAAAUAAACCAAAACUUCUAGGACUAGCAAAGGGGAAAGAAUUCUCAAAGAUACUCUUUUCUCUGGCUUUCCAUAUUGAAAAUAAUUUCUCAUUUUGACAAUAUAACCUGAUAAAAACCUUCCAUCUGUGAUGGUUAAUACUGAGUGUCAACUUGAUUGGAUUGAAGGAUGCAGUAUUGAUCCUGGGUGUGUCUGUGAGAGUGUUGCCAAAGGAGAUUAACAUCUGAGUCAGGGGAUGGGGAAGGAGACCCCCCUUAAUCAGGUAGGCAAGACCUAAUCAGCCGCCAGCAAAUAUAAAGCAGGGGAAAAAACGUGAAGCAAAGAGAUGGGCCUAGCUUCCUAGCCUACAUCUUUCUCCUUUGCUGGAUGCUUCCUGCCCUUGAACAUCAGACUCGAAGUUCUUCAGCUGUGGGAAUCGGACUGGCUCUCCUUGCUCCUCAGCUUGCAGACAACCUAUUGUGCGACCUUGUGAUCAUACAGUUCUGGAGUCUGGAAUUCCAAGAUAAAGAUGCCAACAGAUUCAAUGUCCAGGAAUGAUCCAGUUACUGUUUCAUGGACAGCAGUCUUUUCACUGCGUCUUCAGAUGGGGAAAGAGAGACACGGUCUCGUCCUGUUGUCCAGGCUAAAGUGCAAUGUGGGAUCAUGGCUCACUGCAGAGCCAACCUCCUGGGAUCAAGAAAUCCUCCCACCUCAGCCUGCUGAGUAGCUGAAGCUGGAACCACAGGUAUACGUCACACACCUGGAUAAUUUCCUUCUUCUUUUUUUUUUUUUUUUGUAGAAAUGGGGUUUCAUUAUGGUGCCCUGGCUGGUCUUGAACUCCUGGCCUCAAGCAAUGCUCUCACCUCAGCCUCCCACAGUGCUGGAAUUAUAGGUGUGAACAACUGUACCCAGCUAACUUACACUUAAUUUUUUUUAUUUAAUGAAGUUUUAUUACAAUUAGUAAUAAAAUAAACUAAUGCUUACUGUAAACUUUUUACAACUUGUUAUCUCACAUUUUAGGUAAUAAUAAUACCAAAGACACAUAACAAUGAACAAAAAUCUGAGUAUACCUUUGCGUUACUUGAGCUUAGCUCCCUCCAAACUCACCAGAAUAUAUUUUAAAAUAGAAAAUCAAACAGUUUUCUUAUGGUUAAAGCAUAUGUUCAGCUAGAAUUAAUUGAAUUAUCUUAGCUGUUUAUCCUUAAACUCAGUGACACAGCAUAUAAAAAACCAGAAUAUUAUCUCCUGAUUACUUCUCUUUCUAUUAUAUGCAUUUUUGUUGUUGUUUUUUGUUUGUUUGUUUGUUUGUUUUUUUGAUGGAGUCUCAUUCUGUUGCCCAGGCUGGAGCGUGGCGGUGCAAUCUUGGCUUACUACAACCUCCGCGCCCUGGGUUCAAGCCAUUCUCCUGCCUCAGCCUCCUAAGUAGCUGGGAUUAUAGGUGCCUGCCACCACUCCCAGCUAAUUUUUCUAUUUUUAGUAGAGACAAGGUUUCACCAUCUUGGCCAGGCUGGUCUUGAACUCUUGAGCUCGUGAUCCACCUGCCGUAGCCUACCAAAGUGCUGGGAUUACAGGCGUGAGCCACCACGCCCAGCUGAACUGUGUUAGGUAAAGAAUAUUUUAUGAGUGGUAAAUCUGUUAAUAAUCAUAGAAAAUAAUUAAUCCUAAUGGAUCAGAGAGGUAUUGAGAUGUUUUCUUCCUGAAAGAUGGGUUUCAACCUUCCUUUUCAACUAUCAGUCUUUUUUCUUUUCUUUUCUUUUUCUUUUUUGAGAUGGGGGUCUCACUUUGUUGGCCAGGCUGGAGUGCAGUGGUGCAACCUUGUACCUUGGCUCACUACAACCUCUGCCUCCCAGGUUCAAGUGAUUCUUGUGCCUCAGCCUCCCAAGUAGCUGGGAUUACAGGUGUGUAACACCACACCCAGCCAAUUUUUGUAAUUUUAGUAGAGAUGGGGUGUCACCAUGUUGGCCAGGCUGGUCUCAAACUGCUGACCUCAAGUGAUCCUUCUCCCUGGGCCUCUCAAAGUGCUGAAAUUAUAGGCCUGAGCCACCACACCCAGCCAACUAUGUCUUUCUACAUCUUUCCAUCAACGCAAUGCCCAGAGGAAAAUAAUCAUCAAGACUAUGGUUUGCCAUUGCAUUCUUAUAAUACUUGGGACUCUGAGGACAAGUUUAAAUAUUCAAAAUUAAGUGGUGUACUUAUGUAAUUAUUUUACAGGUGAAUAAUUUAAGUAAAGGUAAAUUUGAAUAUCAUCUAUGAAUGAGCUUAUUAUAAAAACAUUAUUUAAUAGAGUUAAAAUGCUUCGAUCUAUUUUGAUAUUACUUAUUUAAAAGUCCAUAUUUUUGAGUUGGGACUCACAGGUUCUGUUGUUAAAAUAAUGUUGGGAAAUUUCCAGUAAUCUGAAGAGGCAAAAUAUUUGUCCUCAAUAACAUUUGUUAUAAUUUAUUUAACUACAUAUUAUGAACAGCAUACUAGUUAAUAUAAUGCUAGCUGCUGUGACAAAUAAACUCCAAAAUCUCAUAAAGUCCCACAACUGAUGGCAGAGACGGAAAGUAGGCUGGACUCAAUCACUAAUAUUGGGGACCCAGAAUAACAAGAGCUUCCAUCAUCUACACAUCCUUACACCUUGUGCUAUCAGCAUCUCACCAGGAAGAAUUGAGAAGAAAAUGCUCCCUAAGGCUGGGCGUGGUGGCUCACGCCUGUAAUCCCAGAACUUUGGGAGGCUGAGGUGGGCAGAUCACAUGAGGUCAGGAGUUCGAGACCA